Molecule: ribosomal RNA, 200 nt
Filed under: uncultured organism
Description: partial small subunit ribosomal RNA
Rfam family: Bacterial small subunit ribosomal RNA
Source: RNAcentral
GUCAAGUCAUCAUGCCCCUUAUGUCUUGGGCUGCAAACAUGCUACAAUGGCCGGUACAGAGGGCUGCGAUACCGUGAGGUGGAGCGAAUCCCUAAAAGCCGGUCUCAGUUCGGAUCGAAGUCUGCAACUCGGCUGCGUGAAGUCGGAAUCGCUAGUAAUCGUGAAUCAGCGAUGUCACGGUGAAUACGUUCCCGGGUCUU